Molecule: ribosomal RNA, 254 nt
Filed under: uncultured bacterium
Lineage: Bacteria
Description: partial 16S ribosomal RNA
Rfam family: Bacterial small subunit ribosomal RNA
Source: RNAcentral
UACGUAGGGGGCGAGCGUUGUCCGGAUUUAUUGGGCGUAAAGAGCGCGCAGGCGGUCGUUCAAGUCGCGUGUGAAAGCCCCCGGCUCAACUGGGGAGGGUCACGCGAUACUGAUCGACUCGAAGGCAGGAGAGGGUAGUGGAAUUCCCGGUGUAGUGGUGAAAUGCGUAGAUAUCGGGAGGAACACCAGUGGCGAAGGCGACUACCUGGCCUGUUUCUUGACGCUGAGGCGCGAAAGCUAGGGGAGCAAACGGG